Molecule: ribosomal RNA, 244 nt
Filed under: Rhodosorus marinus
Lineage: Eukaryota; Rhodophyta; Stylonematophyceae; Stylonematales; Stylonemataceae
Description: partial Bacterial small subunit ribosomal RNA
Rfam family: Bacterial small subunit ribosomal RNA
Source: RNAcentral
GGAGGAAGGUGGGGAUGACGUCAGGUCAUCAUGGCCCUUACGGCCAGGGCUACACACGUGCUACAAUGGUAGUGACAAUGGGUUAAUCCCAAAAAGCUAUCUCAGUUCGGAUUGGGGUCUGCAACUCGACCCCAUGAAGUCGGAGUCGCUAGUAAUCGCAGAUCAGCAACGCUGCGGUGAAUACGUUCCCGGGCCUUGUACACACCGCCCGUCACGUCACGAAAGUCGGCAACACCCGAAGCCG